Molecule: ribosomal RNA, 170 nt
Filed under: Hymenolobium mesoamericanum
Lineage: Eukaryota; Viridiplantae; Streptophyta; Magnoliopsida; Fabales; Fabaceae
Description: 5.8S ribosomal RNA
Rfam family: 5.8S ribosomal RNA
About the family: 5.8S ribosomal RNA (5.8S rRNA) is a component of the large subunit of the eukaryotic ribosome. It is transcribed by RNA polymerase I as part of the 45S precursor that also contains 18S and 28S rRNA. Functionally, it is thought that 5.8S rRNA may be involved in ribosome translocation.
Source: RNAcentral
AAUCUAAAAUGACUCUCGGCAACGGAUAUCUCGGCUCUUGCAUCGAUGAAGAACGUAGCGAAAUGCGAUACUUGGUGUGAAUUGCAGAAUCCCGUGAACCAUCGAGUCUUUGAACGCAAGUUGCGCCCGAAGCCAUUAGGCUGAGGGCACGCCUGCCUGGGUGUCACACA